This 112-nucleotide ribosomal RNA is filed under the name Caerostris extrusa. Lineage: Eukaryota; Metazoa; Arthropoda; Arachnida; Araneae; Araneidae. The record is from RNAcentral.
AACGGCCAUACCAUGCUGAAUAUACCGGUUCUCGUUAGAUCACCGAAGUCAAGCAUCAUUGGGCGCGGUUAGUACUUGGGUGGGUGACCACCUGAGAACACUGCGUGCCGUU